GACGAACGCUGGCGGCGUGCUUAACACAUGCAAGUCGAACGGAAAGGCCCUGCUUUUGUGGGGUGCUCGAGUGGCGAACGGGUGAGUAACACGUGAGUAACCUGCCCUUGACUUUGGGAUAACUUCAGGAAACUGGGGCUAAUACCGGAUAGGAGCUCCUGCUGCAUGGUGGGGGUUGGAAAGUUUCGGCGGUUGGGGAUGGACUCGCGGCUUAUCAGCUUGUUGGUGGGGUAGUGGCUUACCAAGGCUUUGACGGGUAGCCGGCCUGAGAGGGUGACCGGCCACAUUGGGACUGAGAUACGGCCCAGACUCCUACGGGAGGCAGCAGUGGGAAUAUUGCACAAUGGGCGGAAGCCUGAUGCAGCAACGCCGCGUGCGGGAUGACGGCCUUCGGGUUGUAAACCGCUUUCGCCUAUGACGAAGCGUGAGUGACGGUAAUGGGUAAAGAAGCACCGGCUAACUACGUG
RNAcentral lists this ribosomal RNA (467 nucleotides) under uncultured bacterium. RNAcentral's name for it is "partial 16S ribosomal RNA". It matches the Rfam family "Bacterial small subunit ribosomal RNA", at positions 28 to 507 of the family's 1533-position model. The record is from RNAcentral.